RNAcentral lists this ribosomal RNA (1272 nucleotides) under metagenome. Its description in RNAcentral is "SSU rRNA". It matches the Rfam family "Eukaryotic small subunit ribosomal RNA", at positions 482 to 1777 of the family's 1831-position model. The record is from RNAcentral.
AAUGCGGGACUCUAAGAGGCCCCGUAAUUGGAAUGAGUACACCUUAAAUCGUUUAACGAGUAUCAAUUGGAGGGCAAGUCUGGUGCCAGCAGCCGCGGUAAUUCCAGCUCCAAUAGCGUAUAUUAAAGUUGCUGCAGUUAAAAAGCUCGUAGUUGGAUCUGGGGCUUGAGGUCGCUGUCUAUCGUUUCGGCGAUGACGGUGAUGCUCAGCUCUGCUUGCCGGUGACUGUUGCGGUGUUCUUCACUGAGCGCUGUAGCAGCACGGCACGCUUACUUUGAAAAAAUUAGAGUGCUCAAAGCGUGCUUGUCGCUUGAAUAAUGUUGCAUGGAAUAAUGGAAUAGGACCUCGGUUCUAUUUUGUUGGUUUUCGGAGCUUGAGGUAAUGAUUAAGAGGGACGAACGGGGGCAUUCGUAUUGCGGUGUUAGAGGUGAAAUUCUUGGAUCGCCGCAAGACGGACUACUGCGAAAGCAUUUGCAAAGAACGCUUUCAUUAAUUAAGAACGAAAGUCAGAGGUUCGAAGACGAUCAGACACCGUCCUAGUUCUGACCAUAAACGAUGCCGACCAGCGAUCCGUAGUGGUUGCUUUAUGGACCCUACGGGCAGCCUCCGGGAAACCAAAGUAUUUGGGUUCCGGGGGAAGUAUGGUUGCAAAGCUGAAACUUAAAGGAAUUGACGGAAGGGCACACCAGGAGUGGAGCCUGCGGCUUAAUUUGACCCAACACGGGAAAACUCACCCGGUCCGGACACCGUAAGGAUUGACAGACUGAUAGCUCUUUCUUGAUUCGGUGGAUGGUGGUGCAUGGCCGUUCUUAGUUGGUGGAGUGAUUUGUCUGGUUAAUUCCGAUAACGAACGAGACUCUAGCCUGCUAAGUAGUGUUGCUAUUGUUAUAUGGUUGACACUUCUUAGAGGGACAAGUGGCAUUUAGCCACGCGAAAUUGAGCAAUAACAGGUCUGUGAUGCCCUUAGAUGUCCGGGGCCGCACGCGCGCUACACUGGAGAAGUCAGCGUGUGUUAUCCAAGUCCGAAAGGACUGGGUAAUCCGUUGAACCUUCUUCGUGCUUGGGACUGUGGCUUGGAACUAUUCCACAUGAACGAGGAAUUCCUAGUAAUUGCAAGUCAUAAGCUUGCGUUGAUUACGUCCCUGCCCUUUGUACACACCGCCCGUCGCUACUACCGAUUGAAUGGUUUAGCAAGGUCCUCGGAUCGUGGCCGUAGGGGCACGCAAGUGUUUCUGCGGUUUGCGAGAAGACGACCAAACUUGAUCAUUUAGA